AGUCAAGUAAUUAAGUGCAUGUGGUGGAUGCCUUGGCAGUCAGAGGCGAUGAAAGACGUGAUAGCCUGCGAAAAGCUCCGGGGAGGCGGCAAAUAUCCUUUGAUCCGGAGAUGUCUGAAUGGGGGAACCCACCUACUUUAAGGUAGGUAUUGCAACAUGAAUACAUAGUGUUGCAAGGCGAACGAGGGGAAGUGAAACAUCUCAGUACCCUUAGGAAAAGAAAUCAAUUGAGAUUCCCUCAGUAGCGGCGAGCGAACGGGGAUCAGCCCAUUAAGUUAUGUGUGUUUUAGUGGAACGCUCUGGGAAGUGCGAACGUAGAGGGUGAUAUUCCCGUACACGAAAGGGCACACAUAAUGAUGACGAGUAGGGCGAGGCACGUGAAACCUUGUCUGAAUAUGGGGGGACCAUCCUCCAAGGCUAAAUACUCCUGACUGACCGAUAGUGAACCAGUACCGUGAGGGAAAGGCGAAAAGAACCCCUGUGAGGGGAGUGAAAUAGAUCCUGAAACCGCAUGCAUACAAGCAGUGGGAGCACCUUCGUGGUGUGACUGCGUACCUUUUGUAUAAUGGGUCAGCGACUUAUAUUCAGUAGCGAGGUUAACCGUAUAGGGGAGCCGUAGAGAAAUCGAGUCUUAAUAGGGCGUUUAGUUGCUGGGUAUAGACCCGAAACCAGGCGAUCUAUCCAUGAGCAGGUUGAAGGUUGGGUAACACUAACUGGAGGACCGAACCCACUGUCGUUGAAAAGCCAGGGGAUGACUUGUGGAUAGGGGUGAAAGGCUAAUCAAGCCUGGUGAUAGCUGGUUCUCCCCGAAAGCUAUUUAGGUAGCGCCUCGGACGAAUACCAUAGGGGGUAGAGCACUGUUUCGGCUAGGGGUCAUCCCGACUUACCAAACCGAUGCAAACUCCGAAUACCUAUGAGUACUAUCCGGGAGACAGACUGCGGGUGCUAACGUCCGUAGUCAAGAGGAAAACAAUCCAGACCGCCAGCUAAGGCCCCAAAAUCAUAGUUAAGUGGGAAACGAUGUGGGAAGGCAUAGACAGCUAGGAGGUUGGCUUAGAAGCAGCCACCCUUUAAAGAAAGCGUAAUAGCUCACUAGUCGAGUCGGCCUGCGCGGAAGAUGUAACGGGGCUAAAACUAUGUGCCGAAGCUGCGGAUGUAUACUUUGUAUACGUGGUAGGGGAGCGUUCUGUAAGCCGAUGAAGGUGUGUUGAGAAGCAUGCUGGAGGUAUCAGAAGUGCGAAUGCUGACGUGAGUAACGACAAAACGGGUGAAAAACCCGUUCGCCGAAAGACCAAGGGUUCCAGUCCAACGUUAAUCGGGGCUGGGUGAGUCGACCCCUAAGGCGAGGCCGAAAGGCGUAGUCGAUGGGAAAAUGGUUAAUAUUCCAUUACUUCUGUGUAAUGCGAUGAGAGGACGGAGAAGGCUAAAUCAGCCUGGCGUUGGUUGUCCAGGUGAAAGGAUGUAGGCAUGUAUCUUAGGCAAAUCCGGGGUACUCUAUGCUGAGAUCUGAUAGCAAGCUGUACUUGUACAGCGAAGUGGUUGAUGCCAUGCUUCCAGGAAAAGUCUCUAAGCUUCAGUUACACAGGAAUCGUACCCGAAACCGACACAGGUGGUCAGGUCGAGUAGACCAAGGCGCUUGAGAGAACUCUGCUGAAGGAACUAGGCAAAAUGGUACCGUAACUUCGGGAGAAGGUACGCUGUUGUUGGUGAUGGAACUCGCUUCCUGAGCUGACGACAGCCGCAGAAACCAGGCCGCUGCAACUGUUUAUUAAAAACAUAGCACUCUGCAAACACGAAAGUGGACGUAUAGGGUGUGAUGCCUGCCCGGUGCUGGAAGGUUAAUUGAUGGGGUUAGCGUAAGCGAAGCUCUUGAUCGAAGCCCCAGUAAACGGCGGCCGUAACUAUAACGGUCCUAAGGUAGCGAAAUUCCUUGUCGGGUAAGUUCCGACCUGCACGAAUGGCAUAAUGAUGGCGGCGCUGUCUCCAGCAGAGGCUCAGUGAAAUCGAAAUCGCUGUGAAGAUGCAGUGUACCCGCGGCUAGACGGAAAGACCCCGUGAACCUUUACUGCAGCUUGACACUGAACUUUGACCUUACUUGUGUAGGAUAGGUGGGAGGCUUUGAAGCUGGAACGCUAGUUCCAGUGGAGCCGUCCUUGAAAUACCACCCUGGUAAUGUUGAGGUUCUAACUCUGUCCCGUGAUCCGGGACGAGGACCGUGUCUGGUGGGUAGUUUGACUGGGGCGGUCUCCUCCUAAAGAGUAACGGAGGAGUACGAAGGUGCGCUCAGCGUGGUCGGAAAUCACGCGUAGAGUAUAAAGGCAAAAGCGCGCUUAACUGCGAGACCCACAAGUCGAGCAGGUACGAAAGUAGGUCUUAGUGAUCCGGUGGUUCUGUAUGGAAGGGCCAUCGCUCAACGGAUAAAAGGUACUCUGGGGAUAACAGGCUGAUACCGCCCAAGAGUUCAUAUCGACGGCGGUGUUUGGCACCUCGAUGUCGGCUCAUCUCAUCCUGGGGCUGAAGCAGGUCCCAAGGGUAUGGCUGUUCGCCAUUUAAAGAGGUACGCGAGCUGGGUUUAGAACGUCGUGAGACAGUUCGGUCCCUAUCUACCGUGGGCGCUGGAAAUUUGAGAGGAUCUGCUCCUAGUACGAGAGGACCAGAGUGGACGAACCUCUGGUGUACCGGUUGUGACGCCAGUCGCAUCGCCGGGUAGCUAUGUUCGGAAGGGAUAACCGCUGAAAGCAUCUAAGCGGGAAGCCUACCUCAAGAUAAGAUUUCCCUAGGACUUUAUGUCCUCUAAAGAGCCGUUCGAGACUAGGACGUUGAUAGGUUGGAUGUGGAAGCAUAGUGAUAUGUGAAGCUGACCAAUACUAAUUGCUCGUGAGGCUUGACUAU
This 2892-nucleotide ribosomal RNA is filed under the name Acinetobacter baumannii. RNAcentral describes it as "23S ribosomal RNA". It matches the Rfam family "Bacterial large subunit ribosomal RNA". Lineage: Bacteria; Pseudomonadati; Pseudomonadota; Gammaproteobacteria; Moraxellales; Moraxellaceae. The record is from RNAcentral.